RNAcentral lists this ribosomal RNA (1040 nucleotides) under uncultured bacterium. RNAcentral's name for it is "bacterial SSU rRNA". It matches the Rfam family "Bacterial small subunit ribosomal RNA", at positions 457 to 1500 of the family's 1533-position model. The record is from RNAcentral.
CGAUACUNUCGGGUGACGUACCNCCGNNAGCCCNNNNNNUACGUGCCAGCAGCGCGUAUACGUAGGGGGCGAGCGUUGCUCGGAUUUACUGGGCGUAAAGAGCGCGUAGGCGGCCAGGGAAGUCUGGUGUGAAAUCCCUCGGCUCAACCGAGGACCCGCAUUGGAAACUCCCUGGCUUGAGUCCAGGAGGGGAGGGUGGAAUUCCCGGUGUAGCGGUGAAAUGCGUAGAGAUCGGGAGGAACACCUGUGGCGAAGGCGGCCCUCUGGAAUGGUACUGACGCUGAGGCGCGAAAGCUGGGGGAGCAAACGGGAUUAGAUACCCCGGUAGUCCCAGCCGUAAACGAUGGGCGCUAGGUGUGGGAGGUAUUGAUCCCUUCCGUGCCGCAGCUAACGCAUUAAGCGCCCCGCCUGGGGAGUACGACCGCAAGGUUGAAACUCAAAGGAAUUGACGGGGGCCCGCACAAGCGGUGGAGCAUGUGGUUUAAUUCGACGCAACGCGAAGAACCUUACCAGGGCUUGACAUCCCCGGAACUCCUCCGAAAGGAGGGGGUGCCCGCAAGGGAGCCGGGAGACAGGUGGUGCAUGGCCGUCGUCAGCUCGUGUCGUGAGAUGUUGGGUUAAGUCCCGCAACGAGCGCAACCCUCAUCCUCUGUUGCCAUCGGGUUAUGCCGGGCACUCUGAGGGAACUGCCCCGGUCAACGGGGAGGAAGGCGGGGACGACGUCAAGUCAUCAUGCCCCUUACGCCCUGGGCUACACACGUGCUACAAUGGCCGGUACAGAGGGCUGCAAACCCGCGAGGGGGAGCCAAUCCCACAAAGCCGGUCUAAGUUCGGAUUGCAGGCUGCAACUCGCCUGCAUGAAGGAGGAAUCGCUAGUAAUCGCGCAUCAGCACGGCGCGGUGAAUACGUUCCCGGGCCUUGUACACACCGCCCGUCACACCACGAAAGCUGGCUGUACUCAAAGUCGCUGAGCUAACCCGCAAGGGAGGCAAGCGCCAAAGGUAUGGUCGGUGAUUGGGGUGAAGUCGUAACAAGGUAGC